AGAGUUUGAUCCUGGCUCAGAACGAACGCUGGCGGCAUGCCUAACACAUGCAAGUCGAACGAGACCUUCGGGUCUAGUGGCGCACGGGUGCGUAACGCGUGGGAAUCUGCCCUUGGGUUCGGAAUAACUUCGGGAAACUGAAGCUAAUACCGGAUGAUGUCUUCGGACCAAAGAUUUAUCGCCCAGGGAUGAGCCCGCGUAGGAUUAGCUUGUUGGUGAGGUAAAAGCUCACCAAGGCGACGAUCCUUAGCUGGUCUGAGAGGAUGAUCAGCCACACUGGGACUGAGACACGGCCCAGACUCCUACGGGAGGCAGCAGUGGGGAAUAUUGGACAAUGGGCGAAAGCCUGAUCCAGCAAUGCCGCGUGAGUGAUGAAGGCCUUAGGGUUGUAAAGCUCUUUUGCCAGGGAUGAUAAUGACAGUACCUGGAGAAUAAGCUCCGGCUAACUCCGUGCCAGCAGCCGCGGUAAUACGGAGGGAGCUAGCGUUGUUCGGAAUUACUGGGCGUAAAGCGCGCGUAGGCGGCUUUGUAAGUUAGAGGUGAAAGCCCGGGGCUCAACCCCGGAACUGCCUUUAAGACUGCAUCGCUGGAAUCCGGGAGAGGUGAGUGGAAUUCCGAGUGUAGAGGUGAAGUUCGUAGAUAUUCGGAAGAACACCAGUGGCGAAGGCGGCUCACUGGACCGGUAUUGACGCUGAUGUGCGAAAGCGUGGGGAGCAAACAGGAUUAGAUACCCUAGUAGUCC
Molecule: ribosomal RNA, 742 nt
Filed under: uncultured bacterium
Lineage: Bacteria
Description: bacterial SSU rRNA
Rfam family: Bacterial small subunit ribosomal RNA
Source: RNAcentral